GCCCGUGAUUUAAUUAAAUGUGUACCACCCGAUUCCAUUCCGAACUCGGCAGUGAAAGCAUUUAAUGCCGAUGAUACUCCAACAGGGGGAAAGUAGGUUUUGCGGGCC
This 108-nucleotide ribosomal RNA is filed under the name Parcubacteria group bacterium. The record is from RNAcentral.